RNAcentral lists this long non-coding RNA (1807 nucleotides) under Catharus ustulatus (Swainson's thrush). RNAcentral's name for it is "lncRNA (ENSCUSG00005014595.1)". Lineage: Eukaryota; Metazoa; Chordata; Aves; Passeriformes; Turdidae. The record is from RNAcentral.
UCCUCCCUUCCCUCUCCCUCUCUCCCUCUCUCUACCUCUCUCUCUUCCUCCCUUCCAGCCUUUUUGUGGGGCUCUCCCUCCUCGCAUCAGCCCCGCCGCAGAGCCGACCCCCGCCUCGCCCCCCUCACCCGCUCCCCGCCAUCCCUUACAUAAGAGACUUCCCGCCCCGGCGGGCGCUCCCCACAGUUCUGCUAACAAGUUGAGAAACAUGAAAGAUUUCCCCAUUCCACACCAUCAUCUUCCACUUUCAAGACUUCAAGAAUUUCAAGACUUCAAGAAUUUCAAGACUUCUCUUUUUGACAUUGCUUUAAGAAAUGAGGAGCUGAAGGAGAAAAAGAGAGUGUAACACCAGAGCUUCACAGAUUUCUUCUGGCUCUGGAGGCCAAGAGAAAAGACCAGAAAUUCUAGUACAAGCCUGCUUAUAAUACAAUUAUUUCUGGCUGACAGCAAGGAAACAGAUGCUUCUUCAGGUCAGAGCUGCCCAACCUGUUCCUAGCCAAGCUUUCCAUCCUUUUUCACAGUGGCUGGACUUUUAUUGUGGCACAUCAAGGGCAUGAACAGCCUACAUGCAUUUCUCUCAAUCCCGUAAAAUGCAUGGUUUAACUGUUGUUAAACAACAGUUUAACAAUACUGGCUUACAAAACAGCACCUGCACAGGAAAGAAAUUUAAUGUUAAACAGUCUGUUCAGCCCCAAAAAAAUUUGUUGGAGAAAGCUUAGGGCAAGCAGAAGUUACAGUUUACUAUAGUUAACCUGAAAAUAAAUAUCUAAAUCAACUGGUUUUCAGUUAAGUUUGACCUUCUCUGGAGACAAAUUAGUCUUGGAGGUUUUUAGAGAAGCAAAUGGAAUAUUUUCUUUCCCACCUGCCUGUUCCAGCAAGGAAUGCAAUGAUCUCCUCCAGAUAAGCUUGGAAGUACAAUAACGAAGGCGCUUUUGCUAGAAGUUCAGCACUGGCAAAUUCUCACCAGUUCAGAAUUGUUUAAUACGUCUUGCAGAAAUUACCAUAGGUAAGAAUAGAUUAGAUUAGAAUUGCUUGAGAACUGAUGAGUUUAAAAGGAACUGUCAUAAAUGUUGUAGUGAAAUGCAGCUUGUUGAUACAGUAUUGCAUCACAAUUUGUAUGUCAAAUAGGCAGAGUAAGACCUUCACAGAUUGAAUCCAAUUCAUCACAGUUUUUAUAUAUUGUGUACAUAUUUUUGUGUAUAUACAUUAUAUAUAUAUAUAUAUAUAUACACACUUUUUCCCCAAAGUCAGUUGCUCUGUUCCAAAUAUCUGAUUUUAAAAUGUUUUUCCAUAGUGCUUGCCUUGGAGAAUAAACUGAAGUGCAGAUUCAGAUACAUUAUUAUAUUCUUCUUUGCAUGCUGAAUUCUUAAGACGUUUAGAAAUAUUGUGAAACUGCAAAAAAAGGCACAGUCAAUUAAUUCCUUCAUUUGAAUAAUUAACCAUUUUAAAUACUCCCUCCAUACCUUAUGUUCAGUUCUAGAUAUAUUAUUAAUAGUAGCUUGUACUGUGUGCUGCAGGAGACUGUUAGGCACAUGAUUCCUAGAACCUGGGGAGGAGAACAUUUCCUGACACUAUGAAUUUACCUACCCAAUGACAAAGUUGUCUUGUUCUAAUUCAAACAUGUUUCACACUGCAGUAAUUACUCCAUAUUUAUUUUAAUGAAAAAUUCAGCACAGUUAAUUUUUUUUAAAUUAUGAUGGUUGAUGAAUCCAUCCAAUUGCAUUCAACAAAAAUGCUAAUCACACUUCACUAUUUUUGAGCUGUUUCUGGUUUACCACUCAUUCCAGUAACAAAAAAGUGUCUAUAA